Molecule: unclassified non-coding RNA, 24 nt
Filed under: Mus musculus (house mouse)
Lineage: Eukaryota; Metazoa; Chordata; Mammalia; Rodentia; Muridae
Description: oocyte_clustered_small_RNA7000
Source: RNAcentral
UUCAGCUUACACUUCCAUAUUGUU